CCUACGGGAGGCAGCAGUAGGGAAUUUUUCACAAUGGGCGAAAGCCUGAUGGAGCAACGCCGCGUGCAGGAUGAAGGCCUUCGGGUUGUAAACUGCUUUUAUAAGCGAGAAAUAUGAUGGUAACUUAUGAAUAAGGAUCGGCUAACUACGUGCCAGCAGCCGCGGUCAUACGUAGGAUCCGAGCAUUAUCCGGAGUGACUGGGUGUAAAGAGUUGCGUAGGUGGCAUAAUAAGUAGCUAGGGAAAUCUGGUGGCUCAACCAUUCAGACUAUUAGCUAAACUGUUAAGCUCGAGACCGUUAGGGGUAACUGGAAUUUCUAGUGUAGGAGUGAAAUCCGUAGAUAUUAGAAGGAACACCAAUAGCGUAGGCAGGUUGCUGGGACGGUUCUGACACUAAGGCACGAAAGCGUAGGGAGCAAACAGGAUUAGAUACCCGGGUAGUC
This 442-nucleotide ribosomal RNA is filed under the name uncultured bacterium. RNAcentral's name for it is "partial 16S ribosomal RNA". It matches the Rfam family "Bacterial small subunit ribosomal RNA", at positions 338 to 795 of the family's 1533-position model. The record is from RNAcentral.